This 705-nucleotide ribosomal RNA is filed under the name uncultured Lachnospiraceae bacterium. Its description in RNAcentral is "bacterial SSU rRNA". It matches the Rfam family "Bacterial small subunit ribosomal RNA", at positions 59 to 776 of the family's 1533-position model. Lineage: Bacteria; Bacillati; Bacillota; Clostridia; Lachnospirales; Lachnospiraceae. The record is from RNAcentral.
AAGCACCUUACCUGAUUCUUCGGAUGAAGGUCUGGUGACUGAGUGGCGGACGGGUGAGUAACGCGUGGGUAACCUGCCCUGUACAGGGGGAUAACAGUUGGAAACGGCUGCUAAUACCGCAUAAGCGCACGAGAGGACAUCCUCUUGUGUGAAAAACUCCGGUGGUACAGGAUGGGCCCGCGUCUGAUUAGCUGGUUGGCAGGGUAACGGCCUACCAAGGCGACGAUCAGUAGCCGGUCUGAGAGGAUGAACGGCCACAUUGGAACUGAGACACGGUCCAAACUCCUACGGGAGGCAGCAGUGGGGAAUAUUGCACAAUGGGGGAAACCCUGAUGCAGCAACGCCGCGUGAGUGAAGAAGUAUUUCGGUAUGUAAAGCUCUAUCAGCAGGGAAGAUAAUGACGGUACCUGACUAAGAAGCUCCGGCUAAAUACGUGCCAGCAGCCGCGGUAAUACGUAUGGAGCAAGCGUUAUCCGGAUUUACUGGGUGUAAAGGGUGCGUAGGUGGCAGUGCAAGUCAGAUGUGAAAGGCCGGGGCUCAACCCCGGAGCUGCAUUUGAAACUGCAUAGCUAGAGUACAGGAGAGGCAGGCGGAAUUCCUAGUGUAGCGGUGAAAUGCGUAGAUAUUAGGAGGAACACCAGUGGCGAAGGCGGCCUGCUGGACUGUUACUGACACUGGGGCACGAAAGCGUGGGGAGCAAACAGG